This 200-nucleotide ribosomal RNA is filed under the name uncultured Thiobacillus sp. RNAcentral's name for it is "partial 16S ribosomal RNA". It matches the Rfam family "Bacterial small subunit ribosomal RNA", at positions 1183 to 1382 of the family's 1533-position model. Lineage: Bacteria; Pseudomonadati; Pseudomonadota; Betaproteobacteria; Nitrosomonadales; Thiobacillaceae. The record is from RNAcentral.
GUACAAGUCCUCAUGGCCCUUAUGGGUAGGGCUUCACACGUCAUACAAUGGUCGGUACAGAGGGUUGCCAAGCCGCGAGGCGGAGCCAAUCCCACAAAGCCGAUCGUAGUCCGGAUUGUUCUCUGCAACUCGAGAGCAUGAAGUCGGAAUCGCUAGUAAUCGCAGGUCAGCAUACUGCGGUGAAUACGUUCCCGGGUCUU